AUCAUACAUUGGCUUGACAAAGAAGACGACAUGAAGCCGUGCGACUUCGCCUGUGAGAAUUCAACGCCAACUCGGUGUGGCGAGUCGCGACCAUUGUGACGAGGAAAAGUCCGCCCGAACAGACCGCUCGUGCGAGGAGAUUCGAGAAACAAGUCCUCCAACGCGUCUCGUCCGAACUUACCCACGGUACUUCG
Molecule: ribosomal RNA, 194 nt
Filed under: Cacopsylla baccatae
Lineage: Eukaryota; Metazoa; Arthropoda; Insecta; Hemiptera; Psyllidae
Description: partial 28S ribosomal RNA
Source: RNAcentral